RNAcentral lists this ribosomal RNA (301 nucleotides) under uncultured bacterium. Its description in RNAcentral is "partial 16S ribosomal RNA". It matches the Rfam family "Bacterial small subunit ribosomal RNA", at positions 509 to 809 of the family's 1533-position model. The record is from RNAcentral.
CAGUCGCCGCGGGAACACCAAGGGUGCGAGCGUUAAUCGGAUUUACUGGGCGUAAAGCGUGCGUAGGCGGCUUCUUAAGUCGGAUGUGAAAUCCCUGAGCUUAACUUAGGAAUUGCAUUCGAUACUGGGAAGCUAGAGUAUGGGAGAGGAUGGUAGAAUUCCAGGUGUAGCGGUGAAAUGCGUAGAGAUCUGGAGGAAUACCGAUGGCGAAGGCAGCCAUCUGGCCUAAUACUGACGCUGAGGUACGAAAGCAUGGGGAGCAAACAGGAUUAGAUACCCCUGUAGUCCCUGUCUCUUAUAA